GCUGGGCGUGGUGGCGCAUGCCUGUAGUCCCCGUUACUGGGAGGCUGAGGUGGGAGGAUCACUUGAACCCGGGAGGUCGAGAAUGCAGUGAGCCAAGAUUGCACCACUGCAUUCCAGCCUGGGCAGCAGAGUGAGACCCUGUCUCUA
Pongo abelii (Sumatran orangutan) is the source of this 147-nucleotide unclassified non-coding RNA. It matches the Rfam family "Metazoan signal recognition particle RNA". From Rfam's summary of the family: The signal recognition particle (SRP) is a universally conserved ribonucleoprotein. It is involved in the co-translational targeting of proteins to membranes. The record is from Ensembl. NCBI's taxonomy places the organism in Eukaryota, Metazoa, Chordata, Mammalia, Primates, Hominidae.